CAGGGAAACAGGAGAACUGAUCUACACUCUGACUUAACCUAGAUAGAUAGAUAGAUAGGUGUAAAUAGGAAAGAUGGUAGAAUUGAAUAAGAAUAAUAUUAAAGGUAAGAUAACAAUGGGUGAUAAUAGGGGAAUAGAGACUAGAGCAAUCUAAUAUAUGAGCGUUGGUAGGAGAAUAGAGAGGAUAACUAUGGUUUCUCUACUUCAAAGGGGUAUGUCUAUGUCUGGGACGAACCACGUGAUAAGAUUACACCACAAAGGAUGCUUAUCCAUAGGCCGAUAAACCCUACCAGUCCUGCUAACGGGAGGUGGACUACAGAGGACCAACGUAGUUGUCACCCACGCGGCCUACCACAUGAUCCGGCUAGACAGGGGAUAUCCACAAGUAAUCUAGGCCUAAGCACCAUGCUUACACCUAUACUACAACUCUCACCUAUAGCGUCCUAUAGAUUAAAGUACC
This 460-nucleotide long non-coding RNA is filed under the name Sorghum bicolor (sorghum). RNAcentral's name for it is "long non-coding RNA (SBIC_LNC014502)". Lineage: Eukaryota; Viridiplantae; Streptophyta; Magnoliopsida; Poales; Poaceae. The record is from RNAcentral.